Molecule: ribosomal RNA, 253 nt
Filed under: uncultured bacterium
Lineage: Bacteria
Description: partial 16S ribosomal RNA
Rfam family: Bacterial small subunit ribosomal RNA
Source: RNAcentral
UACGGAGGGGGCUAGCGUUGUUCGGAAUUACUGGGCGUAAAGCGCACGUAGGCGGCUUUGUAAGUUAGAGGUGAAAGCCCAGGGCUUAACCCUGGAAUUGCCUUUAAGACUGCAUCGCUAGAAUUGUGGAGGGGUAAGUGGAAUUCCGAGUGUAGAGGUGAAAUUCGUAGAUAUUCGGAAGAACACCAGUGGCGAAGGCGACUUACUGGACACAUAUUGACGCUGAGGUGCGAAAGCGUGGGGAGCAAACAGG